Molecule: transfer RNA, 76 nt
Filed under: Sphaerodactylus townsendi
Lineage: Eukaryota; Metazoa; Chordata; Lepidosauria; Squamata; Sphaerodactylidae
Description: tRNA-Val
Source: RNAcentral
GGAGGGGCUGUGGCUCAGUGGCAGGAGUGUUUACUUGACAUACAGAAGGUCAUAAGUUCAAUUCCCAGCUCCUCCA